GAUGAACGCUGGCGGCGUGCCUAAUACAUGCAAGUCGAGCGAACAGACGAGGAUCUUGCUCCUCUGACGUUAGCGGCGGACGUGUGAGUAACACGUGGAUAACCUACCUAUAAGACUGGGAUAACUUCGUGAAACCGGAGCUAAUACCGGAUAAUAUAUUGAACCGCAGGGUUCAAUAGUGAAAGACGGUUUUGCUGUCACUUAUAGAUGGAUCCGCGCCGCAUUAGCUAGUUGGUAAGGUAACGGCUUACCAAGGCGACGAUGCGUAGCCGACCUGAGAGGGUGAUCGGCCACACUGGAACUGAGACACGGUCCAGACUCCUACGGGAGGCAGCAGUAGGGAAUCUUACGCAAUGGGCGAAAGCAUGACGGAGCAACGCCGCGUGAGUGAUGAAGGUCUUCGGAUCGUAAAACUCUGUUAUUAGGGAAGAACAAAUGUGUACGUAACUAUGCACGUCUUGACGGUACCUAAUCAGAAAGCCACGGCUAACUACGUG
This 497-nucleotide ribosomal RNA is filed under the name uncultured bacterium. RNAcentral's name for it is "partial 16S ribosomal RNA". It matches the Rfam family "Bacterial small subunit ribosomal RNA", at positions 28 to 507 of the family's 1533-position model. The record is from RNAcentral.